Molecule: long non-coding RNA, 291 nt
Organism: Ruditapes philippinarum (Manila clam)
Lineage: Eukaryota; Metazoa; Mollusca; Bivalvia; Venerida; Veneridae
Exons: 3
Source: RefSeq, a predicted model, not a curated record
CUUUCAGCAGUCAAAAUAUUUUUAUUUCUGCUGACUUGUACAAGAAACACAGCAUCGCUAGAGUGUUAUGCAUGUUCCAAUGCGACAGAUAUAAACAAGUGUAACAAUGUUGUUCAAUGUAGCACUCAGCAAUCAUUUUUCCAUGAUUUGUCUACAAUUGGGCAGACUCAGAUGUAUUCACUGGGAUGUAUUGAUAAAAAUGUAAUAUACAAUUCCAGCUUCUAGACACUAUCAGUUGGUGUAUCAUGCUUUUUAAUGUAGAAAUUGCAAGGCUAAUGAGCGUAUAUUAAA